UGCAGAGGCAGGCAGCCAUCAAUCCUUGUUCCUCAAGCCAGGAUGAAGACAUUUUUUUUACUCCUCAACAGCCUGACCCUCCUGCUUCAGUUCCUAAUGAGGACAGAGAUUAUCCUCUUUUGGAAUUGUAUCACUCUGCCUCUGAAGAGCAGGAAGAGGAGCAGUUCAAUUUGGAAGACACUCCUCUAGAAUUCCAG
Molecule: long non-coding RNA, 197 nt
Organism: Xyrauchen texanus (razorback sucker)
Lineage: Eukaryota; Metazoa; Chordata; Actinopteri; Cypriniformes; Catostomidae
Exons: 3
Source: RefSeq, a predicted model, not a curated record